RNAcentral lists this transfer RNA (63 nucleotides) under Ligilactobacillus salivarius. RNAcentral's name for it is "tRNA-OTHER". It matches the Rfam family "tRNA". From Rfam's summary of the family: Transfer RNA (tRNA) molecules are approximately 80 nucleotides in length. The record is from RNAcentral. Lineage: Bacteria; Bacillati; Bacillota; Bacilli; Lactobacillales; Lactobacillaceae.
GGGCCUAUAGCUCAGCUGGUNNNGAUAAGCGUGAGGUCGAUGGUUCGAGUCCAUUUAGGCCCA